This is a small nuclear RNA of Clarias gariepinus (North African catfish), 191 nucleotides long. RefSeq annotates it as U2 spliceosomal RNA. The record is from RefSeq and is a predicted model, not a curated record. Lineage: Eukaryota; Metazoa; Chordata; Actinopteri; Siluriformes; Clariidae. The transcript has a single exon.
AUCGCUUCUCGGCUUUUUGGCUAAGAUCAAGUGUAGUAUCUGUUCUUAUCAGUUUAAUAUCUGAUACGUCCUCCAUACGAGGACCUUAUAUUAAAUGGAUUUUUAGAUUAGGGAGCAGGAACAGGGGCUUGCUCCAUCCGCUCCACGCAUCAACCUGGUAUUGCAGUACUUCCAAGAAUGGUGCACUCAUA